GCUAAUACCGGAUGUGCCGAAAGGUGCAAGGCUUGCUGCCUGAAGAAGAGCUCGCGUCUGAUUAGCUAGUUGGUGGUGUAAAGGACUACCAAGGCGACGAUCAGUAGCUGGUCUGAGAGGAUGAUCAGCCACACUGGGACUGAGACACGGCCCAGACUCCUACGGGAGGCAGCAGUGGGGAAUUUUCCGCAAUGGGCGAAAGCCUGACGGAGCAAUACCGCGUGAGGGAGGAAGGCUCUUGGGUUGUAAACCUCUUUUCUCAGGGAAUAAGAUAUGACGGUACCUGAGGAAUAAGCAUCGGCUAACUCCGUGCCAGCAGCCGCGGUAAUACGGAGGAUGCAAGCGUUAUCCGGAAUUAUUGGGCGUAAAGCGUCCGCAGGUGGUUUGUUAAGUCUGUUGUUAAAGAAUGGGGCUUAACUUCCUUCAAGGGGUGGAA
RNAcentral lists this ribosomal RNA (436 nucleotides) under uncultured Anabaenopsis sp. RNAcentral describes it as "bacterial SSU rRNA". It matches the Rfam family "Bacterial small subunit ribosomal RNA", at positions 162 to 631 of the family's 1533-position model. The record is from RNAcentral. Lineage: Bacteria; Bacillati; Cyanobacteriota; Cyanophyceae; Nostocales; Nodulariaceae.